Stegostoma tigrinum is the source of this 2068-nucleotide long non-coding RNA. RefSeq lists it as uncharacterized. The transcript is spliced from 3 exons. The record is from RefSeq and is a predicted model, not a curated record. NCBI's taxonomy places the organism in Eukaryota, Metazoa, Chordata, Chondrichthyes, Orectolobiformes, Stegostomatidae.
CUGACUCCAGGAUAGGAUUAAAGCAGCAGCAGUUAAAGCCUAAUCCAGCAGUAAAACAAACUGUAAAUAAAAUGUCAUGCUCUCCCGAAAACAGUGUCGCAUGACAUGUUUACUGCCGAACUGCAGACACACCGAUAGUGUCAGGAACAUGCUGUAUCCCAAUAGCCAGUAAAUGGCAACCAACAGCCAUUACUUCUGUUAAUGACAACCAGGUUUCUGAGCACAGGAGUUGACUAACAUUGGUUUCGCAUUCUACAAUGGCCAAAGCUGCAAGAAGCUUUUGCAGAACCAGCUGGCAAGAUUCCCAGUGCAUAAUAAUCAGGGUGUGCACCCUCUCGCCAACAUUAAACUGACACGAGUCAAUGCAAACACCCAUUUGGACAAGUCGACCAGGUAGCUGCAGGGAAGCCCAGGCCAUCACAGAAGCCAGCCUUCCAUCCACGGACUCCAUUUACUUGGCUCACUGCUGGAGAAAGGCUGCCAUCAUCAUCAAAGACCCAUCGCACCCUCGGAAUGCUCUCCUACAACCUCUUCCAUCAGGCAAAAGAUCGAGAAGCUUGAACACAUGCACCAGCAAGUUUAGAACAGCUUCUUCCCAGCCAUUAUUAGACUGAUGAAUGAACUGUCUAGCCUCAAAUAAUGCUGAUCUUGCUAGUGUCAAUAAAUGUGGAACUGCAGUCCUUUCUGUCUCCUGAUCUUGCAUAGUUCUCACCAUGUGCAAUGUAACCUGUAUACCUCUGCCUAAGUCUUUUUAUAGCAACUUUUGAUCUGGACAUCUUCGCUUUCUAUGAUCUGCCUGCACUGCUCGUAAACAAAGCUUUUCACUGUACUCCAGUACACGUAAUAAUAAAUCAAGCAAUCAAAUAUUUUGCAGGUCCCAUUCAUUUCCUGAAUCAUAUUGUGAAUAACAUGAUAAGAUGCAGGAGCAGUAGGCCAUUCAGCCCAGUAAAUCUACUUUGCUAUUCAAUGUGAUUGUGAUCAUUCUGACAGUCCUCAAUUCCACUUUUCUGACUUUUCCCCAUGACCCUUUUCUCCCUGUAACAUCAGUAUCUUUUAAAAACGUUCUUUUGAUGUCUUUCUUAUUAAUUGAAGUAACUCUGGAAUUGGGGAUUGAAAAGGUUGGUUAAGUGGACACAGCCAUUGGAUGCACAAGGUCCCACAUCAAAUCCUCUGGGAAUUUGGCCAACACACAGUUGGUAACUGCCUGCAUCACGAGGGUGAGACACGUGUCAACUUGGUUACUAGGACCUUCCAGACGUUACACUUUAAUAACUCACUGUUGUAGAGCUUGAGAAAAACAUGCACAAAAAUUACGGUGUUCUUCACAACAGUACAUUAUUAUUUAUAUAUCGAUUUCCAGUUAAUAGCUUCCACGCUUGAUAAAGCUGUCAAUAGUUGACUCGUUUGGAAGAGUUCCCACAGAUGGCCAAGUUGGGAGUUCCUGAUGUUUGGACUCUUGGCCCAAAACUUCACACCUGCCUAUCACUGGCAUUUACUGUAUCACGAGGGUAGCUGGAAUUUGCAACAUGAUCAGUUGUAAUCACUGUAUUCCUUUAAAACUGUCAAGCACCUCUGCACCCUGGAAUGUUGCGGUCAGUCUGAGAGUCUCCGAAAAGAAUGAAGGAAUUGAUAAGGUUGCAAACACAUACAUUGGGGAGAAUUAAUUUACAAUUUUAUUUUACACAUAAUGCACAGGUGAAAAUCCCCUCACAGGUCUUGCAAACAAACAUCUUUAUUUUAAAAAACAUUUUGAUAAUGACUGUCCUUUAAUAUUGAAAAUUGACCCUAAAUUGUUUUACUGAAAUGCUAAAUACAUAGAUGUUAUGUCCUGUGUUUAGCAGGUGUUAAUGGAACGAGACUCUGUAAAUUGGUCUCGGUCAUUCUAUACUGAUUAAGGAUCUGUUUAUAUGAAUGGUGUCAUUGUGCAACAUAAACCUCAGUGUAGAUUUUUUGCAGCUUCAUGUUAAAACUGGUACGUGUGAAAAUGGUUGUGAUGGGUCUUAAUGUAUGAGCUAUUAUUCCAUUGUGUUUUUGUCUUGUCUAUUUUGCCUCCAUCAAAGAAAUUAAA